UCCUACGGAGGCAGCAGUGGGGAAUAUUGGACAAUGGGCGAAAACCUGAUCCAGCAAUGCCGCGUGAGUGAUGAAGGCCCUAGGGUUGUAAAGCUCUUUUACCCGGGAUGAUAAUGACAGUACCGGGAGAAUAAGCUCCGGCUAACUCCGUGCCAGCAGCCGCGGUAAUA
This 170-nucleotide ribosomal RNA is filed under the name uncultured Pseudomonadota bacterium. Its description in RNAcentral is "uncultured proteobacterium partial 16S ribosomal RNA". It matches the Rfam family "Bacterial small subunit ribosomal RNA", at positions 337 to 525 of the family's 1533-position model. Lineage: Bacteria; Pseudomonadati; Pseudomonadota. The record is from RNAcentral.